GAAACCUAAAACAACGAAAGCCCUACCUCUCUUCCAUCCUUGCGGCUCCGAAGACCGCGCCAGUGUGAUCCGGAUAUCAAAGCAUAUG
This 88-nucleotide small RNA is filed under the name Saccharibacillus sacchari DSM 19268. RNAcentral describes it as "BsrC". It matches the Rfam family "BsrC". Rfam says of the family: The 301 nucleotide sequence from Kouji Nakamura has been trimmed to a highly conserved ~85 nucleotide long core to form this family. RNAcentral also lists the same sequence under 1 other name. Lineage: Bacteria; Bacillati; Bacillota; Bacilli; Caryophanales; Paenibacillaceae. The record is from Rfam by way of RNAcentral.